GCAGAUCUGCCCUGCCCACUUUCGCGCUCUUUCCAACACCUUUCUCAGUUAUUUUCGCCAUUGUGGGUUUACUUGUCCUCAGCACACUGAUUUGGCACUGCUGCAAUCGUCACACUUUUUCUGUUACAAACUGACCCGGCCCCUCAUCAGAGAAGGGAAAAGUCAUGUGGCCUUCACAGGAAAAGGUUUGGGGACCCCUGCUUUAGAGUGUUUGUCAUCUGCCCUUCCAUUUGCUUUUCUUCAUGUGCAGUGCUCCCCCUCCAUGUUUGAUCAAACUGCACUGAUAAUUUGAAAUUGUUUUAAAAUGCAUUAAUCGCAAAAAUCAGAGGACUAGAUCACAUUUCCCCCUGUUAUUUCACCACUUUAACUUUGGUCUAACCUAAUAUAGGAAUACAGAUAGAAAGAGUGCAGAGAUCACACUCGACGCCAUAACAACCUGGUGUGUUUAAGGUUGGUCAUUUAUGUGCCUAUAUUUUGAAAUUGUUGCCUUAAUUUUGUGUUCUUUUUCACCAUCCCCCAAUCAGGCUGAAGCAAAUGGUCAAAAGUCCACACAUACCUCAGUCUCAGCAAUUACAGGUCAACCAAAGCAGUAUUCUCUAAUGCAGUGGACUUGCAAGUACUGCACAUUUUCUGCUGAAAAGAGCCUACUUGCUUAAGCAUUACCGCUUAAAACAUGGAUACCACACUCGGACAUCCCUACUCCCAUGUCUUCAUAAGGACUGCCUCUGCACAUUUAAAUCUUUUAAUGCACUCAAAGUACACCUAUCGACAUGGCACUCUCAAAAAGAUGCAGGCAAAAGUGGAGAAACUGCAUUUGACCGUCAGUUGUGCAACUUUGUGGAGCCCUGCUCAGAAGCAGACUUCUUUACCCAUUUGCGAGGACAUCUUAAGCUGAGGCAAAUGGUUACUUGCCCAUAUCAAGACUAACUUUCAGAGCAGUAUUUAUUCGACCUUCACUGCACACAAAAGCAAAGAAAUGUGAAAUGUGUUUGAGCCAUAGUGUGGGUAGGACAUUUGUGUCUAAAUCAUUCAAUCCCAAUAAAAGUUGCUUUAAUAAAAAAAAAAAACUUAUUUUUAAUCAAAGAAAAAGAACCUUUUGCAAAAAUAUAUUUUUUUGAAAAUAUAUAUAUUUUUAAAUAUAUAUUUUUUUUAUUGACGUGUCACUUUUUUUUUAAAGGAAAAAGUUUAAAACUUUUUUUUUAAAGUGGAAAAAGUUUUGAACGCAUUUCUUUUUUUCUUUUUGA
Corythoichthys intestinalis (scribbled pipefish) is the source of this 1244-nucleotide long non-coding RNA. RefSeq lists it as uncharacterized. The record is from RefSeq and is a predicted model, not a curated record. Lineage: Eukaryota; Metazoa; Chordata; Actinopteri; Syngnathiformes; Syngnathidae. The transcript has 3 exons.